GCACACUAAAUUCCAGCUAGUCUGGGGGGGGGGGGGCAAACUAAACAAUUUCUAGCUUAACACUAACCUUGUUGGCAAUUGACAACAUGAGAGGACUGACAGUAUAUGAAAGGAGACCAUUGGUCACUGAAUAAAGUCAAGUGUUUAUUCCUGAUGAAUAAUACAGAAAACAAACAGUACAAAAUACCAAAAUUGUUAUCAUCAUUGAUAAAGUCAAGAUACAAGGCCAUGAUUGAUGUAUUCAAAGUGAAAAUUUCAUAAUAUAAAGAUACAAUGUACAUUUGAGAAACAUACAAAACACACAAGUUUCUCCAUGUACAAUUCGACAGCUCAGCUCAACCUGGAUGACCAUCAUCGCCUUUUUUUGGAGUAGGUAGAAGUUGUCCCUAACCACUGAUACAAGGUCAGAGCUUUAGAUUGCAUUUCUAAUGGUCAACUUCAGGAUUGAGGCCAGGGUAAAAUGAUCUUAGAUCUGUUAGGGAGCAACUACCUUUAGCAGGAAUUUCUUUCAACUUUCCCCUCCCCCAAACAAAUCAUGGUAAAUCUCAAUUAUCAAACUAUAAAAAGCACUCGUGGUUUUUGAGCUGCUCGGGUUCGCUGAAGCCUUUUCCACACUGAGAGCACUGGUGGGCGCUGCCGGCCUUGUCUCUGUCUCCACUGUGGAUCAGCUGGUGUCUUUUCAGGUACUCUACCCUGCUGAAACGCCUGCCGCACACCUCGCACCCGUACGGACGCUCGCCCGUGUGGAUCCGCUGGUGCCUCUCCAGCGAGCGCGAGUGUGUGAAGCCCUUCCCACAGAGCUCGCAGCGGUGGGGCCGCUCGGCCGCGCACACACACUCGUGGUUCUUCAGGGCCCAGGCAUGGCUGAAGGCGUGGCCGCAUGAGGCGCAGGGGAAUAGGGUGGCCUCCGUCCCUCCCUGCAGGUGGGUGUCCCCCAGGGGGCAGGGGUGCUCCUCCAGCUCAGCCUCGUUGGCAAAGCCCCCACCGCACUGCAUGCAGAAAUGCAUCAGGUCUCCGGUCUCCUCCUCACCACUAUCAUCCACGCUACCCGGAGCAGAUGGGUGAUGCAGGGCCUCAUCUGAGCCUCCCUGCUCUUCCAUCACCUCACUGUCCCUCAGCCUCUUGGGCCAGCGUGGCUGCAGCGCUCCUCCAGCCCCCCCUGGCAGUGCCCUCUCACUUUCCUUCAGACGGGCACCAGGACCCUGCAGGGCAUCACUAGAGUCCCUCUCUGAGGGUGUGGGACUCCCCAGCGCUCCCUCCUGUUCCAACCCAUCCAGACCAAUGUACUUCUGGCCCAGGCUGAACUCACUGCCUGCCAUUACUUCCGGGUCAGGGCUCAUGGAGCCAUGGUUAGAGCCUGCUGUGGGGGGGAUCCUUAGGGCUGCUUGCUGGCGCCCCCUCUCUGCCCUCAGGGCCGUCUCCAGCCCACUCAAGUCCUCCACGCUCAGCACCCCCUCCGACACCUCUGUUGGAAGGGACCCCACGUCCCACUCCUCCUCAUCCCCCUCUUCAUGCCUCAUUGCUGAGGGCCGCUUCAGGGCCUCCUGGGCCAUAGGGCUGAACUCCAUGUCUCCUACUGGGCAGAGAGAUUGAGAGGGUCUGUUAGAGGAGCA
This 1613-nucleotide long non-coding RNA is filed under the name Salmo salar (Atlantic salmon). RNAcentral's name for it is "lncRNA (ENSSSAG00000093072.1)". The record is from RNAcentral. Lineage: Eukaryota; Metazoa; Chordata; Actinopteri; Salmoniformes; Salmonidae.